GGGACGGGGGCGGGGCCGACGGGCCUGGGGGCGGGGUCCGGGGCGGGGGAGGUGUCAGUCUCGCGCUGGCUGCCGCCACCGCCGCUGCCGCCGCCGCCGCGGCUCCUCCUCGCUUGCUCACUCACAUGCUGGCGGUGCCAGUGGCCCCGGUGGCUGCCAGCCCGCCAGUCCGCCCGGCCUCCCGCCCGCUGCCCGUCCCCAGCCUCGGGCAUGCAGACAGCCUGCUGUUUCCGCGCCCAGGUGUUAAUGAAAAAAUGCACACAAUCCUGACAGAUGGGACUGGUUCAUGAAGGAGGGGACGGCCAGCUCAGUGUUUCAGAGACCACAGGACCAGCUUCCCAUCCAGAGCAAAGAUUGGAAACCAGUUCCAGGGAGAUUUCUAUGGUACAUAACAGAAAGUGUAUUGGCCUUAGGUCCAGGACUAUCGGCUUCAAAUCAACACUUCUCAGUGUUGGAAUGAUGGGCAAGUCAUUUAAACUCUUCUGCAUCAUCCCCUUCCCAACCCCCCCCCAAUUCCUUUAUUUUUGUAAUGAGGAUAAUCAUACUUGCCACACCUACUUUGCAGGGUUGUCAUGAGGAAGGUGCUUUGUAAAUACUAUCUGGAGAACUUUUUAGAACAAUUAUCUAAAGCAGGGGUGGGAAACCUGGGGCCUUGAGGCCACGUGUGGCCUUCUAGAUACUUAAGUGCAGCCUUUUGACUGAAUCCAAAUUUUAUAGAACAAAUCCUUUUAGUAAAAGGAUUAGAUUCUAAAGCAAUGCUUGUCUACCAGGCUCUGGGUAGCUAUGGUUUUUCCAUGCCCUCUUUCUGAUAUUGAGAGAGUGUCACUAAACAAAUAUUUGUUGGAGACUCCCUUAUAAGAGAAAAUUUAAUACAGAAAAUUGAAAGUCCUACAUUUGGGUAAAAAAAAAAUUCAUCAGUAUAGCAUGGGGAAGAAAGGGCUGGACAUUCUGGGUGAAGAAGAUCAGGGGAUUUUAGUGGAAUGUAAGCUCAAUAUGAAAUAUGAAAGCUUUUGUUUCUUGUUUUCAUUGAAGAUUGCCUUGGUUUAUCCACAGACCAGUCUCUAAAGGUCUUAUAGAGAAAAAGAAGCAGGGACAGAUAGCUCAAUAAGUAGAUCAAUCAACAGAUAGAUUCUCCUGUUAUCUUAGUUGCCUUAUUUUGAUAAAAAUGCCAUCCAUGAUUUUCCACUCAUGGUAGAUGAUUCCUCUCAUUGGAAGUCUUCAGACAAGCUGGGUGACAACUUUUGGGUAUGUUGUAGAGAAGGGGUGUCAAACACAAAUAGAAUCAGGGGCUACUGGUGUACAUAUGUUCACUUAGAAAACCACAUAUUAACAUUUUCUGUAUUUUGCUGUAUUUUUAUUUAUUUCAUUAAAUAUCUGCCGAUUACAUUUUAAUCUAGUUUGGGCCUCACCAUGCAUUUGAUACCCCUGUUGUAGAGGAGGGGAUUUCGGCUCAGGUGCAAGUUAUACAAGAGGUGUUGUGAUGGAGGGGAAAGAGCACUGAAUUUGGAAUCUCUGUUUUUGGGGAGGCUGAGGCGGGUGGAUUGCUUGAGUUCAGGAGUUCUGAGCUGCCAUGGGC
Molecule: long non-coding RNA, 1576 nt
Organism: Phascolarctos cinereus (koala)
Lineage: Eukaryota; Metazoa; Chordata; Mammalia; Diprotodontia; Phascolarctidae
Source: Ensembl